CAGCUUGUUGGUGAGGUAACGGCUCACCAAGGCUUCGAUCCGUAGCUGGUCUGAGAGGACGAUCAGCCACACUGGGACUGAGACACGGCCCAGACUCCUACGGGAGGCAGCAGUGGGGAAUCUUGCGCAAUGGGCGAAAGCCUGACGCAGCGACGCCGCGUGGGGGAAGAAGGCUUUCGGGUUGUAAACCCCUUUCAGGAAGGACGAAGCCACUCGGGUUAAUAGCCCAGAGGGUGACGGUACUUCCAGAAGAAGCCCCGGCUAACUACGUGCCAGCAGCCGCGGUAAUACGUAGGGGGCAAGCGUUGUCCGGAUUUAUUGGGCGUAAAGAGCGUGUAGGCGGUUAGGUAGGUCCGUUGUGAAAACUCGAGGCUCAACCUCGAGACGCCGAUGGAAACCAUCUGACUAGAGUCCGGAAGAGGAGAGUGGAAUUCCUGGUGUAGCGGUGAAAUGCGCAGAUAUCAGGAAGAACACCCGUGGCUAAGGCGGCUCUCUAGUACGUGACUGACGCUGAGACGCGAAAGCGUGGGGAGCGAACAGGAUUAGAUACCCUGGUAGUCCACGCCGUAAACGAUGGGUGCUAGGUGUAGGGGGUGUCAACUCCCUCUGUGCCGAAGCUAACGCAUUAAGCACC
This 634-nucleotide ribosomal RNA is filed under the name uncultured Actinomycetes bacterium. RNAcentral describes it as "SSU rRNA". It matches the Rfam family "Bacterial small subunit ribosomal RNA", at positions 242 to 868 of the family's 1533-position model. The record is from RNAcentral. Lineage: Bacteria; Bacillati; Actinomycetota; Actinomycetes.